Molecule: long non-coding RNA, 755 nt
Filed under: Vigna radiata
Lineage: Eukaryota; Viridiplantae; Streptophyta; Magnoliopsida; Fabales; Fabaceae
Description: long non-coding RNA (VRAD_LNC006164)
Source: RNAcentral
AUCUGAGCCCCCAACACCUAUUUGGGAGCAGCGUUUAAAAAACCAGUGAGCACCUACCAAGAUUCAGUACAAAAUCCAUGUACUCACCUGGUAAUCGCUUACAUGCUCUCAGUAAGCGAUUACAAAACCUAAUUGCAUGUGGAAAUGACACACCACUUGAAAUGAAUCAACACUUGUACUCUUGCCACCUAAUUCCAUCCAUCUUAGCCCCCAACACCCAUUUGGGAGCAUCGUUUAAAAAACCAGGGAGCACCAACCAAGAUUCAGUACAAAAUCCAUGUACUCACCUGGUAAUCGCUUACAUGGUCUCAGUAAGCGAUUACAAAACCUAAUUGCAUGUGGAAAUGACACACCACUUGAAAUCAAUCAACACUUGUACUCAGGGACCCUGUAAUUGCAUCGAUCUUAGCCCCCAACACCCAUUUGGGAGCAGCGUUUAAAAAACUAGGGAGCACCUGACAAGAUUCAGUACAGAAUCCAUGUACUCACCUGGUAAUCGCUUACAUGCUGUCUGUAAGCGAUUACAAAACCUUUUUUGUUGUGGAAAUGACACAGCACUUGAAGAGCAUAACUUCACUUGUACUCUUGCCACCUAAUUCCAUCCAUCUUAGCCCCCAACACCCAUUUGGGAGCACCGUUUAAAAAACCAGGGAGCACCUACCAACAUUCAGUACAGAAUCCAUGUACUCACCUGGUAAUCGCUUACAUGCUCUCAGUAAGCGAUUACAAAACCUAAUUGCAUGUGGAAAUGACAC